UACGGAGGGUGCAAGCGUUAUCCGGAUUCACUGGGUUUAAAGGGUGCGUAGGAGGGCAGGGAAGUCAGUGGUGAAAUCUCCGGGCUUAACUCGGAAACUGCCGUUGAUACUCUCUGUCUUGAAUACCGUGGAGGUGAGCGGAAUAUGUCAUGUAGCGGUGAAAUGCUUAGAUAUGACAUAGAACACCAAUUGCGAAGGCAGCUCGCUACACGAAUAUUGACUCUGAGGCACGAAAGCGUGAGGAUCAAACAGG
Molecule: ribosomal RNA, 253 nt
Filed under: uncultured bacterium
Lineage: Bacteria
Description: partial 16S ribosomal RNA
Rfam family: Bacterial small subunit ribosomal RNA
Source: RNAcentral